This 599-nucleotide long non-coding RNA is filed under the name Nicotiana benthamiana. RNAcentral describes it as "long non-coding RNA (NBEN_LNC004139)". The record is from RNAcentral. Lineage: Eukaryota; Viridiplantae; Streptophyta; Magnoliopsida; Solanales; Solanaceae.
UAAUGUGGAUAAACUAGACAUACUAGGCACCAUCUUCUGAAGCUUGGACAAGCUAGGAUGUCCUAAACGACUGUGCAGUAGGUCUGGAGGAUCUGCAGCUAGACAGGCCUUAGAGGAUGUUAGGGAGUUAAGGUAGUAGAGUCCGUCUGAUUCAAGUCCUGUUCCAAUCGGAGGAUCUGCAACUAGACAGGCCUUGGAGGAUUUUAGUGAGUUAAGGUAGUAAAGUCCUUCUGAUUGAAGUCCUGUUCCAAUCGUCUGUCCCGUAUUGCGGUCCUGCAUAAUAAAAGAAUCAUCAAUAAAAUUUAUACCACAAUGGAGGGCACAAGUCAAACGACUAACAGAUGCAAGAUUAAAAGGACAACCAGGGACAUAAAGAACAAAAUCUAGAGUGACAGUGGGUAGGGGAUUCGCUUGUCCAACUCCUUUUGCUUUAGUUUGAGACUCAUUGGCUAAAGUAGCGUUGGGAAGAGACUGUGAAUACGCAAUAUUUGACAAAAGAGAUUUAUUACCAAAGAUAUGAUCAGAAGCAGCUGAGUCCACAACCCAUUGUUCAAGAGGACUAGACUGGGAAACACAAGCAAAAGAAUUACCAGCAACAG